AUUCCUGUAUCUAUAGUAACCAAUUUACUGUUUGGCAGAUGUUUGUUUUCCUACAGAAGUAAAAUAAAACAACCACAAUCGGAUGUUUUACCCCUCUUAGCCUGCAAUGUCCUUCACGUGUAAAGAACUCAGGUGACCGUAAUGUGAAGACAAAAGACAGACGGUACGAAUGAACGCUGAAGAAAAUGACGUAGUCCUUCAACGGAAUUCUGAAUUCGCGGUAGAUUUAACAUAGCCAAUAUCCGUUACUAAAAAACAAAUUAAUCGUUUUUUAUUAGUUUUUACACAAAUAUGUUUUCUUCUAUCCCGGAGUAGGCCUUCAGAACACAAUGCGAAAAGGAAUCCGACUCUUCGUUUGGGAUUAAGUCGCGAUGAUGAACCCUCGUCUGAAUCCGCCAUCGCCAGCGAGCGGCGGACGGUCGCCGGACAGCGCUCUCUCAGUCCCGCGGUGAGUCAGCGUUUCUUCUUCCUCGCCGCCGAGGUCAUCGCGGCCUGUUUUUUUCCGCCACGUCGGCGAUUCUCACGCAAGCGGCGAGCGACUCAUCAGAAAAAGUUCGAGGCGAACUGCGACGCCAGCGCGAAGCACGACGGCCCGACGUUCGAGGGUCUCGCUGCUACGGGUCUAGCGACACUUUGCAUACUGUACGUCACACAGUAGCGGACGGGGCCUCGUCCAGAAUGGAGAGGAAUCUUUUAAGAAACCUAGCAUGGCGGACCUGAUGACCAGUAGUUACGACAGUAGCAAACGUAAAAAGGUUCACGUGUUACUAUGGUUAUGCGUUCUGAAUUCAAAUCACAAUGGGGUCCCAUU
Anguilla rostrata (American eel) is the source of this 811-nucleotide long non-coding RNA. RefSeq lists it as uncharacterized. The transcript is spliced from 2 exons. The record is from RefSeq and is a predicted model, not a curated record. Lineage: Eukaryota; Metazoa; Chordata; Actinopteri; Anguilliformes; Anguillidae.